GACCUUGCUCAGGUCACGUUCUGAGCCUGCUUCUCACUCCUGGCCCCUCCCAUCCUCCUGGUUCCGCCGUGGACAAGCUGAAGUCUCUCUGGGGCCAGGGGACCCGCACGGCCCAGCCGCCCCACCCCACCAUCUCCCAGGCAUGUGAGAAAAUAUCACAUUCUCUGUGUUUUGGAGAUUUCUUCUAAAUGUAUUUUCCAACUAUCAUUUCAUAGCAAAUCAGCAAGAAAAAAGGGGCUUCCUGGAGCUCCUGCAACCCCAGGCAUUAGUUCCAGUGCAGUUCUAGGAUCAGAUCAAUUCACUCGACAACAAGAGAAACAAAUGGAGAUUCCUACACAAAGACUUUCAAGCACAAAGAAAUCCUGCUGCCUAUAAAGCAGAGCUGCCUCAGCUCUUGAUGAACGACAGAAAAUACCACCUACUGCCAGACCUCUUCGCCUCACAAAACUCUCACCCACCUACUGCUUUUAGCUCAAAUUCCAGGAAUUCAGAUGAAGUGAAGUGCUCUCAUGGGGACCAGGCGUGGGUAUGCCAGUCCACUGCCCUGCAAGUCUCAAGGGAAACCAACUGCCCAUCAGCAAGUCACACCUGCCUUGGUGGAGGCAUUGAUUGGAAGGGCCACAGGCUACAUGUCCAGUCCUGAGUGGGAGAAUCGGUGUAGGGAUGUUCUGGGGAUGCUGGCUGUGGCUAGAUCAGGUCCAGCUACAGAAGAAUAAUGAAGACUUCACCUGAGGGCUGGAAAAACAAAACCUCAAGUGUGAGGCAGCCAACCUAUUACCUCGAGGGACUGUCCCGCAGCACAGCAGGGCCAUGGGAACAGCAGCAGACACCCCGGCCUCCUCACUACCUGUGUGUGUAUUAGACACCCAG
RNAcentral lists this long non-coding RNA (870 nucleotides) under Pongo abelii (Sumatran orangutan). RNAcentral describes it as "lincRNA". Lineage: Eukaryota; Metazoa; Chordata; Mammalia; Primates; Hominidae. The record is from RNAcentral.